ACAAGCGGUGGAGCAUGUGGUUAAUUCGAAGCAACGCGAAGAACCUUACCAGGUCUUGACAUCCCUGACAACCAAGAGAUUGGGCGUUCCCCCGUUCGGGGGGACAGGGUGACAGGUGGUGCAUGGUUGUCGUCAGCUCGUGUCGUGAGAUGUUGGGUUAAGUCCCGCAACGAGCGCAACCCUCGCCUCUAGUUGCCAGCAUUCGGUUGGGCACUCUAGAGGGACUGCCGGCGACAAGUCGGAGGAAGGUGGGAUGACGUCAAAUCAUCAUGCCCCUUAUGACCUGGGCUACACACGUGCUACAAUGGGCGGUACAAAGGGCUGCGAACCCGCGAGGGGGAGCGAAUCCCAAAAAGCCGCUCUCAGUUCGGAUUGCAGGCUGCAACUCGCCUGCAUGAAGCCGGAAUCGCUAGUAAUCGCGGAUCAGCAUGCCGCGGUGAAUACGUUCCCGGGCCUU
This 457-nucleotide ribosomal RNA is filed under the name uncultured Geobacillus sp. RNAcentral describes it as "bacterial SSU rRNA". It matches the Rfam family "Bacterial small subunit ribosomal RNA", at positions 925 to 1382 of the family's 1533-position model. The record is from RNAcentral. Lineage: Bacteria; Bacillati; Bacillota; Bacilli; Caryophanales; Anoxybacillaceae.